RNAcentral lists this ribosomal RNA (825 nucleotides) under Triticum aestivum (bread wheat). Its description in RNAcentral is "partial small subunit ribosomal RNA". The record is from RNAcentral. Lineage: Eukaryota; Viridiplantae; Streptophyta; Magnoliopsida; Poales; Poaceae.
AUGGCGCGCGCCGCGGUCGUAAUCUUCUUCUUCGUCCUCGCCGUCGCAGCCGCCAGCGCCGCGCAGGCCCCCGCGGAGUCGCCGAAGGCGCCCGCAGCCUCCGCACCUGCCAAUGCGCCCGAGGUCGCGAAGAAGGCCGCGUCUGCCCCGGCGUCGAGGAAGUCCGGUCCUGGUGCCGCGCCAGCCAGCAAGAGCUCGCAGGCCGCCUUCUCUUCACCGGGUGCUAGGGCGUGGGCUUCUACCGGCGAGGCGUCUAGCCCACUGGUGCCCAUGGCCGUGGUGUUUCCUAUCGCCGACGGGCCUGGUGCCGCGCCAGCCAGCAAGAGCUCGCAGGCCGCCUUCUCUUCACCGGGUGCUAGGGCGUCGGCUUCUACCGGCGAGGCGGCUAGCCCACCGGCGCCCAUGGCCGUGGUGUUUCCUAUCGCCGACGGGCCCGGUGCCGCGCCAGCCAGCAAGAGCUCGCAGGCCGCCUUCUCUUCACCGGGUGCUAGGGCGUCGGCUUCUACCGGCGAGGCGUCUAGCCCACCGGCGCCCAUGGCCGUGGUGUUUCCUAUCGCCGACGGGCCUGGUGCCGCGCCAGCCAGCAAGAGCUCGCAGGCUGUCUUCUCUUCACCGGGUGCUAGGGCGUCGGCUUCUGCCGGCGAGGUGUCUAGCCCACCGGCACCCAUGGCCGCGGUGUCUCCUAUCGCCGACGAGCCUGCUGAGGGAUCGGAUCCGGCUGAUGCUGAGAAAUCUAGUGCUGCUGCUCUGGUGGACAACGCCGCCAUCGCUAUUGCUGGUUAUUUUAGAAAAGAAGGAUUAUUCCCGUCCUCUACAUCUGACUAA